AGAGUUUGAUCCUGGCUCAGGACAAACGCUGGCGGCGUGCGUAACACAUGCAAGUCGGACGAGAGGGAGAGGCUCCUUCGGGAGUGUUUCUUGUCGAGUGGCGGACGGGUGCGUAACACGUGGAUAACCUGCCCUGGUGUGGGGGAUACCCUGUAGAAAUACGGGCUAAUACCGCAUAUGGUGGUCUUUAGGGAGCUAGA
This 200-nucleotide ribosomal RNA is filed under the name uncultured bacterium. RNAcentral describes it as "partial 16S ribosomal RNA". It matches the Rfam family "Bacterial small subunit ribosomal RNA", at positions 8 to 195 of the family's 1533-position model. The record is from RNAcentral.